RNAcentral lists this long non-coding RNA (235 nucleotides) under Nicotiana benthamiana. RNAcentral's name for it is "long non-coding RNA (NBEN_LNC024844)". The record is from RNAcentral. Lineage: Eukaryota; Viridiplantae; Streptophyta; Magnoliopsida; Solanales; Solanaceae.
UAGCUUACGUAACCGCCAGCUUUGCUUCUUUUCUCGCCACCUUGUAGAUCUCCCUGUUCGCUCUGCGUUCUUCCUCGCUUGUGCUCCCUGCCAACUUAGCAAACGCCGCCUUCUUUACCUCUACUUUUCCUUCGACUAUAUUGGUCCACCACCAGUCACCCUGAUGUCUGACUGAAUAGCCCUUGGCUACCCCGAGCACGUCCCGUGCUACCUCCCUAACCAUGUUCGCCGUCUC